GGCGCUAUAGUGGAAUUGGAUUAUCACGCUACCCUUUCAAGGUAGAGACUGCGGGUUCGAUCCCCGCUAGCGUCA
RNAcentral lists this transfer RNA (75 nucleotides) under Hungatella hathewayi. Its description in RNAcentral is "tRNA-Glu". It matches the Rfam family "tRNA". From Rfam's summary of the family: Transfer RNA (tRNA) molecules are approximately 80 nucleotides in length. Their secondary structure includes four short double-helical elements and three loops (D, anti-codon, and T loops). RNAcentral also lists the same sequence under 1 other name. Lineage: Bacteria; Bacillati; Bacillota; Clostridia; Lachnospirales; Lachnospiraceae. The record is from RNAcentral.